This is a non-coding RNA of Podarcis lilfordi (Lilford's wall lizard), 77 nucleotides long. The record is from the annotation of a GenBank genome assembly. Lineage: Eukaryota; Metazoa; Chordata; Lepidosauria; Squamata; Lacertidae.
GUAUACACAGAGCUCAUAUGGUUAGAGCAUGGUGCUGAUAAUGCCAAGAUCAUGGGAUUGAUCCCCAUAUGGGUACA